Small nucleolar RNA from Ictidomys tridecemlineatus (thirteen-lined ground squirrel), 74 nucleotides. Its record names the gene SNORD28. It matches the Rfam family "Small nucleolar RNA SNORD28". Rfam says of the family: U28 is a member of the C/D class of snoRNA which contain the C (UGAUGA) and D (CUGA) box motifs. U28 is encoded within the U22 snoRNA host gene (UHG) in mammals and is thought to act as a 2'-O-ribose methylation guide for ribosomal RNA. The record is from Ensembl. NCBI's taxonomy places the organism in Eukaryota, Metazoa, Chordata, Mammalia, Rodentia, Sciuridae.
GUUAAGAGUUGGUCCCCCUAUGCUGAUGAUCUGUGAGGUACAACAGUAAAUAGCAUGUUAGAGUUCUGAUGGCA